ACUCCUACGGGAGGCAGCAGUGGGGAAUUUUGGACAAUGGGCGCAAGCCUGAUCCAGCCAUGCCGCGUGCGGGAAGAAGGCCUUCGGGUUGUAAACCGCUUUCAGCCGGAAAGAAAUCGCCAUUCCUAAUACGAGUGGUGGAUGACGGUACCGGAAGAAGAAGCACCGGCUAACUACGUGCCAGCAGCCGCGGUAAUACGUAGGGUGCGAGCGUUAAUCGGAAUUACUGGGCGUAAAGCGUGCGCAGGCGGUUUCUCAAGCCAGAUGUGAAAUCCCCGGGCUUAACCUGGGAACUGCAUUUGGAACUGGGAGACUAGAGUGUGUCAGAGGGGGGUGGAAUUCCACGUGUAGCAGUGAAAUGCGUAGAGAUGUGGAGGAACACCGAUGGCGAAGGCAGCCCCCUGGGAUAACACUGACGCUCAUGUACGAAAGCGUGGGUAGCAAACAGGAUUAGAUACCCUGGUAGUC
Molecule: ribosomal RNA, 468 nt
Filed under: uncultured bacterium
Lineage: Bacteria
Description: bacterial SSU rRNA
Rfam family: Bacterial small subunit ribosomal RNA
Source: RNAcentral